Molecule: ribosomal RNA, 246 nt
Filed under: uncultured Lactobacillus sp.
Lineage: Bacteria; Bacillati; Bacillota; Bacilli; Lactobacillales; Lactobacillaceae
Description: partial 16S ribosomal RNA
Rfam family: Bacterial small subunit ribosomal RNA
Source: RNAcentral
CGUGGGUAACCUGCCCAAGAGAUCGGGAUAACACCUGGAAACAGAUGCUAAUACCGGAUAACAACAGAUGAUGCCUAUCAACUGUUUAAAAGAUGGUUCUGCUAUCACUCUUGGAUGGACCUGCGGUGCAUUAGCUAGUUGGUAGGGUAACGGCCUACCAAGGCGAUGAUGCAUAGCCGAGUUGAGAGACUGAUCGGCCACAUUGGGACUGAGACACGGCCCAAACUCCUACGGGAGGCGGCAGAG